RNAcentral lists this long non-coding RNA (1211 nucleotides) under Gouania willdenowi (blunt-snouted clingfish). RNAcentral describes it as "lncRNA (ENSGWIG00000003416.1)". Lineage: Eukaryota; Metazoa; Chordata; Actinopteri; Blenniiformes; Gobiesocidae. The record is from RNAcentral.
AUGCUCAAGAUCAAGAUUGUGUUCCUCUUCUCCCGUAUUCUUGGGCUGCUGGCAUGCUCAAUGAGUUGGUCCUGGAUCAUCUCAUCAGUAUUCUCAGUAAACGCACACGUCACCGCCAGCUCUCGUAGCCGUCGACUAGUCGAUGACAUCACCAAGAGUCGAAGUCGGGCCGAGUGGCAGCCGAGUGCCGGUGUUGUGCCAAAAUCCGUGACCCAAAUAAAUCUAUGACAGCCGGUGGCAACAGUUCCAACCCCUGUGGCUUCUUGGCGAACAUUUACUCCCCCUUAAACAUGUUUGAAAUUCUUCUCCAGCCUGCAUUUACUUCACCCACCAGAGCGUCAUGUUUAAGGGUGUGUAAAUAGCUCCUUAACUCAUUCAGUGCCAGCGAUUUUCAAAUUUUCUACCCCCUCAGUGCCAGACGUUUUUGAGCAUUUUGACUGAAUUCAAAGACCCACAGAAUAUUUUCUACUAUGACUAUCUGAAAUCUGACACCAGAUUCUGAAAGAUUGAAGCCUCUACUGUCAUGAAAAAAAUAACCAUUUGUUUCUGGCUCGUUCCGUUCUUUUGUAAUCAGCCGUUGAAUAGAGCAAGUUUUACACAAAUCUUCAGUUUCAGAGCAAAAAGCUGAGAAAACAGCCUUUUUGUAAAAAAAUCCUGUCAGUGACUUUAAAGCUAUUUUUUUUUUUGCUUUAGUGACAACUCUAACAUCUGAACAUUGUUUCCUUAUAUAAAACAUUAAAAAAAACACUGAGACCGGGCUUUUGAUGGCAAAAUUAUUAUUAUUUUGCUGUCUAUGUCAGAGUUGAAUGGAUUUCUUACUGUAUUUUGGCGUUCCUCCAACGUUCCGUCCCGUCAGUCUGUACACAGACGUAACUUCCUCUUCCUCCCGACACGCAGCAAUGACCCGUUUAGCCUGGUUAGUUGAUGGUUUUAUCUCACGAUCACAACAUUAUCAAUAAUCUACUCAGGUCCACACAUUCUGUGUUAGUAUGUGGAGCUGUGAGCUGCUGGAUACGUCACAAUAUCACUUUGUAGCGCCAUAUUCUCAAUCGUUCCUUCUUCUCCCACCCAGCUAAUCAUAGCAUCAGUGGCUAAUCUCUCAUCUCAAGGUGCACCGCUGCCAUCGUCAGGGCAUAGUUGGUCACUACAACAUCCCACAGCUUAGAUAUUGAUGAGGGACCUCCGCCAGGGUGUUUUCUAGUAAUCCCCGU